This 425-nucleotide ribosomal RNA is filed under the name uncultured bacterium. RNAcentral describes it as "partial 16S ribosomal RNA". It matches the Rfam family "Bacterial small subunit ribosomal RNA", at positions 354 to 796 of the family's 1533-position model. The record is from RNAcentral.
GUGGGGAAUAUUGGGCAAUGGGCGAAAGCCUGACCCAGCAACGCCGCGUGAAGGAAGAAGGUUUUCGGAUCGUAAACUUCUAUCCUUGGUGAAGAUAAUGACGGUAGCCAAGAAGGAAGCCCCGGCUAACUACGUGCCAGCAGCCGCGGUAAUACGUAGGGGGCAAGCGUUGUCCGGAAUGAUUGGGCGUAAAGGGCGCGUAGGCGGCCCGGUAAGUCUGAAGUGAAAGUCCUGCUUUUAAGGUGGGAAUUGCUUUGGAUACUGUCGGGCUUGAGUGCAGGAGAGGUAAGCGGAAUUCCCGGUGUAGCGGUGAAAUGCGUAGAGAGCGGGAGAAACACCAGUGGCGAAGGCGGCUUACUGGACUGUAACUGACGCUGAGGCGCGAAAGUGUGGGGAGCAAACAGGAUUAGAAACCCGAGUAGUCC